CCUUCCGGGUACAAUUGAGACAGGUGGUGCAUGGUUGUCGUCAGCUCGUGUCGUGAGAUGUUGGGUUAAGUCCCGCAACGAGCGCAACCCUUGUGUUUAGUUGCAAACAGGUCAAGCUGUGCACUCUAGACAGACUGCCGUGGACAACACGGAGGAAGGUGGGGAUGACGUCAAAUCAUCAUGCCCCUUAUGAUCUGGGCUACACACGUGCUACAAUGGCCGGUACAACGGGCAGCGAAGGAGCGAUCCGGAGCGAAUCCUAAAAAGCCGGUCCCAGUUUCGGAUUGCAGGCUGAAACUCGCCUACAUGAAGUUGGAGUUGCUAGUAAUCGCGAAUCAGAAUGUCGCGGUGAAUGCGUUCCCGGGUCUU
RNAcentral lists this ribosomal RNA (369 nucleotides) under uncultured Fusibacter sp. Its description in RNAcentral is "bacterial SSU rRNA". It matches the Rfam family "Bacterial small subunit ribosomal RNA", at positions 1017 to 1382 of the family's 1533-position model. Lineage: Bacteria; Bacillati; Bacillota; Clostridia; Eubacteriales; Fusibacteraceae. The record is from RNAcentral.